RNAcentral lists this long non-coding RNA (894 nucleotides) under Oryza sativa aus subgroup. RNAcentral describes it as "lncRNA OsNaBo_11g0013200". The record is from RNAcentral. Lineage: Eukaryota; Viridiplantae; Streptophyta; Magnoliopsida; Poales; Poaceae.
UGGCUCCGUCCUUCGACUCCCUCUCAUAGCAUAUAGAAUAGCAGGCAAUAAAGGUAUCCACAAUGUAGAAAUAAGAGAGGGUAUUAUGCUUAUAAGGUCUACUUAUACAUUGUGGAGGUGGUUCUUAUAGCUAUCCUUUUCUUGAGGUAGCAUUAUACAUAAGAACCACCCAUAAGAACCACCCAUAAGAAAUAAACAAUUCAAUCUUAUUUGCUCUAGCUUUAUCUCUCUUCAAAGUAGUUGGUUGCCGCCAUGGGAGAGGAGAAGCAGCAACGAGCCCGCCAUGGGAGAGUGAAAGAGGAAGGGAAGCACCUGCAUGGCCGUCGCUGGAGAGCCGCCCGCCACUGUCGUCUCCGUCGCUGGAGAUCCACCCGCGAGGCCGUGACCGCCGUCGGAGAUCCGCCCACGACUGCCGCCAGAUCCGCUCGCUCACACGGCUGCCGGAUCUGCUCGAGACCACCGUCCCCGACGCUGGAUCCACCGUCGACCAUCGCCGACGCCGCCGGAUUUGCCCGCGCGCGCGGUCGCACGCAGCCGCCACUCCGUCACCGGAUCAACCACCGCCAGCGUCACUCCGUCACCGAAUCAACCGCCGUCGUCACCAAUCUGACACCGCCACCCCGCCACGCUGCCGCCUCUCGCGGUCUCUCUCUCGGAGUUGGAGUAGAUGGGGAUGAGGUAGUCGGGAUGGGGAUGGGGAUGGGGAUGAGGAUGAGGCAGAGAGUAGUAGUAAUUGGGAACAUGGGGUCCAUCUUAAUGCCUACUUUUUUAAUAUACACUAUGAAGAUAUCCAUAUAAAAUGAUGGUGUCCACCUGGACCCAUAUUAAUGCCUUCUUUCAUUUUAUACAUUGUUGUUGCCCUAAGACAUGAUGAUCAAAGAGACUCUUUUUGUC